AACGAACGCUGGCGGCAUGCCUAACACAUGCAAGUCGAACGAGACCUUCGGGUCUAGUGGCGCACGGGUGCGUAACGCGUGGGAACCUGCCCUUAGGUUCGGAAUAACUCCCCGAAAGGGGUGCUAAUACCGGAUAAUGUCUUCGGACCAAAGAUUUAUCGCCUUUGGAUGGGCCCGCGUUGGAUUAGCUAGUUGGUAGGGUAAAAGCCUAUCAAGGCGACGAUCCAUAGCUGGUCUGAGAGGAUGAUCAGCCACACUGGGACUGAGACACGGCCCAGACUCCGACGGGAGGCAGCAGUGGGGAAUAUUGGACGAUGGGCGAAAGACUGAUCCAGCAAGGCCGCGUGAGUGAUGAAGGCCUUAGGGUUGUAAAGCUCUUUUACCCGGGAGGAUAAUGACAGUACCGGGAGAAUAAGCUCCGGCUAACUCCGUG
This 433-nucleotide ribosomal RNA is filed under the name uncultured bacterium. RNAcentral describes it as "partial 16S ribosomal RNA". It matches the Rfam family "Bacterial small subunit ribosomal RNA", at positions 29 to 507 of the family's 1533-position model. The record is from RNAcentral.